RNAcentral lists this transfer RNA (73 nucleotides) under Gemmatimonadota bacterium. RNAcentral describes it as "Gemmatimonadetes bacterium tRNA-Lys". It matches the Rfam family "tRNA". From Rfam's summary of the family: Transfer RNA (tRNA) molecules are approximately 80 nucleotides in length. Their secondary structure includes four short double-helical elements and three loops (D, anti-codon, and T loops). Lineage: Bacteria; Pseudomonadati; Gemmatimonadota. The record is from RNAcentral. RNAcentral also lists the same sequence under 4 other names.
GCGCCGCUAGCUCAACUGGUAGAGCAACUGACUCUUAAUCAGUAGGUUCGGGGUUCGAGUCCCUGGCGGCGCA